AACAUCUAAGUACCCCGAGGAAAAGAAAUCAACCGAGAUUCCCCCAGUAGCGGCGAGCGAACGGGGAGCAGCCCAGAGCCUGAAUCAGCAUGUGUGUUAGUGGAACGGUCUGGAAAGGCCGGCGAUACAGGGUGACAGCCCCGUACACAAAAGUGCAUGUGUUGUGAGCUCGAUGAGUAGGGCGGGACACGUGGUAUCCUGUCUGAAUAUGGGGGGACCAUCCUCCAAGGCUAAAUACUCCUGACUGACCGAUAGUGAACCAGUACCGUGAGGGAAAGGCGAAAAGAACCCCGGCGAGGGGAGUGAAAAAGAACCUGAAACCGUGUACG
RNAcentral lists this ribosomal RNA (329 nucleotides) under Citrobacter freundii. Its description in RNAcentral is "partial 23S ribosomal RNA". It matches the Rfam family "Bacterial large subunit ribosomal RNA", at positions 197 to 563 of the family's 2925-position model. The record is from RNAcentral. Lineage: Bacteria; Pseudomonadati; Pseudomonadota; Gammaproteobacteria; Enterobacterales; Enterobacteriaceae. RNAcentral also lists the same sequence under 1 other name.